UCAGAACGAACGCUGGCGGCAGGCCUAAUACAUGCAAGUCGAGCGCGCCCUUCGGGGUGAGCGGCGGACGGGUGAGUAACGCGUGGGAAUAUGCCCUUCUCUAAGGAAUAGCCUCUGGAAACGGAGAGUAAUACCUUAUACGCCCUUUGGGGGAAAGAUUUAUCGGAGAAGGAUUAGCCCGCGUUAGAUUAGGUAGUUGGUGGGGUAAUGGCCUACCAAGCCUACGAUCUAUAGCUGGUUUGAGAGGAUGAUCAGCCACACUGGGACUGAGACACGGCCCAGACUCCUACGGGAGGCAGCAGUAGGGAAUCUUAGACAAUGGGGGCAACCCUGAUCUAGCCAUGCCGCGUGUGUGAUGAAGGCCCUAGGGUCGUAAAGCACUUUCGCCAGAGAUGAUAAUGACAGUAUCUGGUAAAGAAACCCCGGCUAACUCCGUGCCAGCAGCCGCGGUAAUACGGAGGGGGUUAGCGUUGUUCGGAAUUACUGGGCGUAAAGCGCACGUAGGCGGAUUAGUAAGUUAGAGGUGAAAUCCCAGGGCUCAACCCUGGAACUGCCUUUAAUACUGCUAGUCUUGAGUUCGAGAGAGGUAAGUGGAAUUCCGAGUGUAGAGGUGAAAUUCGUAGAUAUUCGGAGGAACACCAGUGGCGAAGGCGGCUUACUGGCUCGAUACU
Molecule: ribosomal RNA, 671 nt
Filed under: uncultured Paracoccaceae bacterium
Lineage: Bacteria; Pseudomonadati; Pseudomonadota; Alphaproteobacteria; Rhodobacterales; Paracoccaceae
Description: bacterial SSU rRNA
Rfam family: Bacterial small subunit ribosomal RNA
Source: RNAcentral